RNAcentral lists this non-coding RNA (27 nucleotides) under Bombyx mori (domestic silkworm). The record is from RNAcentral. RNAcentral also lists the same sequence under 1 other name. Lineage: Eukaryota; Metazoa; Arthropoda; Insecta; Lepidoptera; Bombycidae.
UCACUUUGAUGUCCUUGUAGGUGUAGA